This 509-nucleotide long non-coding RNA is filed under the name Bos taurus (domestic cattle). RNAcentral's name for it is "long non-coding RNA NONBTAT021749". Lineage: Eukaryota; Metazoa; Chordata; Mammalia; Artiodactyla; Bovidae. The record is from RNAcentral.
ACAUGAAGGAUUUGGAGUAGUACUGUAACUUAAUGACAUUUUCAUGAAAUUCGUCUUAUUAGUAGGUAGAAGUUGUGCUUCUUAAUGAUCAUUAUAUACACAUUUCAUCAAACUUGUGUUUGACCAAGUAGAAAAGUAGAUUGUCUCCAGGUUCUUUGGACAUAUUAUUCUAUUUUUCUUCACUAUAAUAUCAAUAAUAUCUUGCUAGAUUUAAAUUCCGAUGCUUCCACUAUCAUGGGUUAGAGCCACUAAACUAAAAAGGUCACCAAGUCCCUUCAUUUCUGAGAAAUGUAAUUUAACUAAAGAAAUUAAUUAGUGAAAUCCACAUGUAUGUUCAUAAUUCAUUGUACAUUGCAACAAUACACACAGAUGGACUUUAUACAAGUAAAUUCUGAUAUAUUAAUAAUGGAAGUAGAAAUUAGAAUUUUCUAAUCACUUCACUCAAUUAUUGAACUAUCUUCAUAUAUACUGUAUUUUAUUUUAAGUUUAAACAGGAUCCUUUCUGUGCC